GGUCAAGUUAUUAAGGGUGCAGGGCGGAUGCCUUGGCACUAGGAGCCGAUGAAGGACGUGAUAAGCUGCGAUAAGCUUCGGGGAGUUGCACGUAAACUUUGAUCCGAAGAUUUCCGAAUGAGGAAACUCACUUAGAGUAAUGUCUAAGUAUCAUUAAGUGAAUACAUAGCUUAAUGAGGGGAACUCAGGGAACUGAAACAUCUAAGUACCUGAAGGAAGAGAAAGAAAUUCGAUUCCGUAAGUAGCGGCGAGCGAACGCGGAUUAGCCCAAACCAAUAAAGUUUUCUUUAUUGGGGUUGCGGACAUAUCAUAACGAAG
Molecule: ribosomal RNA, 318 nt
Filed under: Clostridioides difficile
Lineage: Bacteria; Bacillati; Bacillota; Clostridia; Peptostreptococcales; Peptostreptococcaceae
Description: partial 23S ribosomal RNA
Rfam family: Bacterial large subunit ribosomal RNA
Source: RNAcentral